GGGCUUGUGGUUUAGUGGUAUAAUUUUCCCUUAGCAAAAGAAAGGUCCAGGGUUCGAUUCCCUGCAAGUCCA
Molecule: transfer RNA, 72 nt
Filed under: Lachnellula hyalina
Lineage: Eukaryota; Fungi; Ascomycota; Leotiomycetes; Helotiales; Lachnaceae
Description: tRNA-Ala
Rfam family: tRNA
About the family: Transfer RNA (tRNA) molecules are approximately 80 nucleotides in length. Their secondary structure includes four short double-helical elements and three loops (D, anti-codon, and T loops).
Source: RNAcentral